RNAcentral lists this ribosomal RNA (748 nucleotides) under uncultured zygomycete. Its description in RNAcentral is "eukaryotic LSU rRNA". It matches the Rfam family "Eukaryotic large subunit ribosomal RNA", at positions 1 to 620 of the family's 3401-position model. Lineage: Eukaryota; Fungi. The record is from RNAcentral.
AACUCGAUCUCAAAUCAAGUAAGACUACCCGCUGAACUUAAGCAUAUCAAUAAGCGGAGGAAAAGAAACUAACAAGGAUUCCCCUAGUAACGGCGAGUGAAGCGGGAUGAGCUCAAAUUUAAAAUCUGGCUGGUUUACUAGUCCGAAUUGUAGUUUAUACAACCGUUUUCGGUGGCAGCCUGGGUAUAAAUCCUUUGGAAUAGGGUAUCAUAGAGGGUGAGAAUCCCGUCUUUGACUCAGUGCAUGCUACUAUGUGAUACGUUUUCAAAGAGUCGAGUUGUUUGGGAAUGCAGCUCAAAAUGGGUGGUAAAUUUCAUCUAAAGCUAAAUAUUGGCGAGAGACCGAUAGCGAACAAGUACCGUGAGGGAAAGAUGAAAAGAACUUUGAAAAGAGAGUUAAACAGUGCGUGAAAUUGUUGAAAGGGAAACGUUUGACACCAGUUAUGCGGGUGGAAAAUCAGUCUUUUGCAAUGGGGAGUUGUGGGCGUUCAGACCGCAAGGCUGGCGUUUGCUUCAUCUUUGUUGUAAGUGAUGCACUUUUUCAUUUGCAGGUCAACAUCAGUUUGCUUUGCUGGACAAAACCCCAAGGGAAGGUGGCAGCUUAGGCUGUGUUAUAGCCCUGGGGCGAUACAGUGGAGUGGACUGAGGUUUCGCAGUGUGUGCUCUCGGGCAAGGCUGACUGGGUGCUAUGGGAUCGUUCGGCGUACAAUGCAUGCAUUUUGCGUCGUGUCUUUUUCAUACUCGCUCAA